RNAcentral lists this small RNA (790 nucleotides) under Vigna angularis var. angularis. RNAcentral's name for it is "Non-protein coding transcript". The record is from RNAcentral. Lineage: Eukaryota; Viridiplantae; Streptophyta; Magnoliopsida; Fabales; Fabaceae.
GUAGAAUUUCAAGGAACAAAAUAAAAAGCACGAUCAUAUAUUUUGGGGACUUAGGUAGGGUUUAUUUUACUGAUUUUCCUUUCAUUCGCGAAAAGAGGAAUCUGAAAGAGAGAAUUUGAGGAAAAAGAUGAUUUAUCGGAAGUGGAGUCUCCUUACCGGUCCGGUCACCAUCCUCGGCGGGGUAGUCGCUGCCAUUGCCGCCGCAAACGUCAUAUUCGUCAAGAAUGAUCCGUUCCUCAAACCAGAUGAGAGAAAGUAUGAAAAUCAACCUGCUACCAAGUAGGAGAAAAGAGAUAACGGAAGUUUGUGUUUUGAUGUCAGCUAAAUCCUGAUUUAUGAGCUGUAUACUGUUUUGCAAGACAUGCUCUCUAGUUAAUAAGACUGAGAUUCUGAAUGAAGUUUGGACUCUGGAGCGUGAACCCUUAUUUUAGAACUAAUCUUCCAAAGUUCUAGAAAACUGGUUCAUAUUUCAGAGAUCCGUACUUAUCUCUUCUGUAUAAUGUCAACUGCAAAUGUUUAAUGUGGUUUCUAAUAUUCCAUUUCUUUCUUUAUUUCUAUCAAUUUACUGUUAUCGCUUGCAAUUUUGGAUUAUUAUGGUAAAAUUAUUGUGGCAAAAGUCACUUCUUUCUAUGCAUACUGGUUAUAUUGACUGACUGUUAUACCUCAGAUAUGGGUUAUAAAAAUUAGUGUAAGAUUGAUGUUGUGUUGUAUUGCAUAUGUGACGAACUUAGCUUCAAGCAUAAGAUGUCUUCUUACAAAUUCAAAAUUCCACAGUUUUGGAUAUUGGUCA